This 256-nucleotide ribosomal RNA is filed under the name uncultured bacterium. RNAcentral's name for it is "partial 16S ribosomal RNA". It matches the Rfam family "Bacterial small subunit ribosomal RNA", at positions 524 to 776 of the family's 1533-position model. The record is from RNAcentral.
GACAUAGGUCGCGAACGUUAUCCGGAAUUAUUGGGCGUAAAGGGUGCGUAGAUGGUGUGAUAAGUUAUUGGUGGUAAAUCGAGGCUCAACCUCGUGGAAGCUGAUAAUACUGUCUCACUAGAGUUCAGGAGAGGUUAACGGAACUCCAUGUGGAGCGGUAAAAUGUGUAGAUAUAUGGAAGAACAUCAAUAAAGGCGAAGGCAGUUAACUAUUCUGUUACUGACAUUGAGGCACGAAAGCGUGGGGAGCAAAACGG